GAAGCCAACCGUCCUCGGUUUCCUGGCCUGUGGCAUCAGUCUGGUUGGAUUACACACAAAGCCCUGCAGAUCUGCUGCUUUUCCUGAUUCUCCUGUCCUGAGUGAGUGCAAGGGGCUCCCCUGUCGCCGAUGUGUUCUUUGAAGCAGAUGCUGUGCCUGAUACCUGCUGGAGAGUCCCACCGCCUUGAGCUUCUGGGUCGAGAAAGGCCAAGUUGCACACUACUGAGAGACUGCCAUGCACCCCCUGGAGGCCUCAGAACAUUCGACAUGCUCCAGUCAUGGCCACGGCAGUGACUGCUGAUUGCCUAACCCCACAUGUGUUCUCCCCCUUCCCUGAUAAUCAAGCCCCUGAUUUUCAGCUGGGCACAAAAUAAUUCUUCCUAGAACAACUCCACGUGUGUUAUCGCCCUUGCAGCUGGGGGUGGCCACCACUGGGGAGAGGCAGGGUGAAGAGGUCGAAGGAGCCUGAGUUAGCAGGGAUGAGCAGUGGCCAGGUAACCCCAGACCCAUUAUCCUCUGGAUUUCUUUUAUGUGAAACAAUAAAAUGUCUUGUAUUCGA
RNAcentral lists this long non-coding RNA (559 nucleotides) under Homo sapiens (human). Its description in RNAcentral is "non-protein coding LINC01943:4". The record is from RNAcentral. Lineage: Eukaryota; Metazoa; Chordata; Mammalia; Primates; Hominidae.